AAAAAAAAUGCAUGGUUCGCGAGUAGCGUCUCCGGCUCCCCGGAGGAGUAGAGACAGGUAUAGUAACCCAAAAAUGGGCUUUGGACAAAUCAAUAUUUAAUUCACUUUAAUAAUGAUUGAUAAUGCGAAAAAUUUUGAUGCAAAAAAAAAAGGGUGCUAGCGCCAUUCCGUGCGUUAAUCGUGUUUUAGGCUUUUAAUCCUGUUCCUAUAAAACAAAAAAAAAAAGGGAUCCGGAUCAUAGACUUUGAUACACGUUUCUGCUAAUUGAAAAAAAAGCCCAGCGAUAAUGAUACAAUUAUUACGUCUACCGUCAACUACCUUUCGAUGUGUAAUAAACAUUUAAUGAAUCUACUACGCGCCCUGUAUAAAAAAAAAAAAAACUGUAUACAUAUGUAUUUUAGAUUAUCAUAUAAUUAACAAUAACGAAACACACAUUCACAUAUACACACACGCCGUGAUAAAAAAAAAAAAAAAAGAAAACCAAGUAUAUCGACUUUUAAAAAAGUCUAUAUCGAGAGAUAAGCGCAAAGCUGCACAAUGGUUUUUAAACGAUGCGCUUCAAUUCCCACUUUUUAAUUAAAAAAAAAAUUUCUCUUGACUGAGCAAUUUUUUUUGUUCCACUUCUGACUUUACAAUUCUAAAAUUUUUUCGGCAUUCUUAUCCAAAGACACAUCACACUGAAAAAAUUGCAUUCAAUUUUGACUCCCAAUUUUUCAAAUUCGUAUUUACAAAAGUACAUAUUUUUUUUUUUCGAAGGGAGGGUGGAUGUUAUUUUUUUCGUUUAUCUAAUCGAAGACACUUUUUUUUUUUUUCUUUUCUUUUUAGUUUUUUUCGUGGCUUUGUAAGUAUCUCUCGCUGAACGGUGUAUGGUGAUUUAACAUAAAAAAAAAGAAAAAAAAAAACAAGUAUCUGUGCGUGAGAUUAUUUUUUUUUUUUCGUUUUUUUUUUUUUAUUGGCGUGUUUGAUACGACGAACGAAUCAUUGAUCGAAUGAAUUAAAUGAAUCUGACCAUGUGAGUCUGAAUAUAAAUUUAUGGGUGAUAAUACAUUCUAAGUAAAAAUUAUUUACAAUGAGCAAAUCCAUGUUCGAGCGACAACGAUUUGAGAUUUAUCACUUUUAAUUUAUCAUUGGUUAAAAAAAAAAAGAAAAAAAAAAGUCAGUACUUUAUUAUUAUUUGUUUUUUAUUUAGAAAAAAAAAUGAAGACGAAGCGAACUGGUGUCGCAAAUUAUAAUAGCAAUUAUUAUAAAAUAUAAUGCAAUUAUAAUUUACUUUGUUUAUUAAAAUAUUAAUUGCUCGUCAAUAACACUAGAAAUCUGGUCAAUAAAUUAAUUUUUUUUUUUAUAGAUUAGAUUUUUGUUUUUCUAAUUAACUCAAAACGACCAUUGUGUUAUUUCUAAUGGAUUUUAUUCAACUAGAUUAAAAUGAUGAUAAAUUGAAAAAUAAAAUCUCGGUGUAUAUUUCGAAUUUUUUUUCUUUUUUUUUUGUGAAUUAAAUUCCGUUGACGCUUUUAACGAAGAUUGAUUUGCUCAAUGUAUAAAGAAAGAAGCAAGUAAUUUGUUUCUUUAAGGUUUCAAUUAAUUAUUAUUAUUAAUAUUAUAAUGAAAAAGGCGAUGUUUAAAGUAUAUUUUCUUUACAUUUAGAAUAUGUAAUAUUUUUUUUUUUCUACUUGAAAAUGGUAAAGGUAAAUUUUCGUUUAGAAUUUCUAAUGCAUGGGUUUGCAUUAUGCAUUUUGGUUUAUUUUUUUAUUUUUUGCUUUUUUCUCUCGUUUUAUAUCGCUUAUUAAAUCAAAACAAAUUAAUAGUUAAAUGUAAAAAUCUUUUGCGAUGUGGUAUUGUAUAUAUUUUUUUUCUCUUUUUUUUUAAUCGAUAAGUUUUUAUUGAAAUAUUAUAAUUAUAAUAAUCUUGAUAUUUAUAAUUAUAAUGUGAAUUGCGCGAAGCGCUUUAAUUAUUACUUUUUUUUUCUUUCUUAAUUGUGAUUGGCCCCAGUAUGUAGCUUGAAUCUAAGAAAAAAAGGAAUGUCAGAAAAAUUUUUGAUUUAGUCAUUUUGAGUAAUUGAGAAAUAUUGAUGAAUUGUGAAAUUUGUGAAGAUUAUGAAAUUUAGACUCUCGUUUAUAUAAUUUAUAGUCAUGCAUUAAAAUUACGUUUAGUUUCCUUUUUUUUUUUUGUUUUGUAGUUUUAAAAAAAAAAAAAAUUGUUUUAAUGGUAUCUAUAGUAUCUGAAUAUCACGGAUCAAGACUUUGAUUGAUUUAAUCCAAACGACAAAAUUUGCAGAUUAGUUAUUAUUUUUUUUUGUCUCUUUUCGAGUAAACUUUUUGCAAUAAUGACUUCUUCCAAGUUACGCAUCAACAUUUACUAAUGACUUGUGCACAUGAUAGAAAAAAAAGAAGCAAUUCUUUUCAGACUAAUUAACUAAAAGCUACUAAACCAUUUUUUAGUUUUUCAAAUUUUUUUUUCCGAGACAGAUUUUUUAGUGUUUUUUUUUUUUUCGUUUUUAAUAUGAAACAUAACGAGAAUUUAAGUAGACAUUCAAGAUUUUUUUUAUUUAUUUUUUUUUUUGUAUUGUUCUUGCCAAAAUUUGUAAUUUUUUUGGUAUUUUUAUAUUCUUUAAAAAAAAAAAAAUUUGCAUCUUAGAAGAAAAUAAAAAAAAAAAAAAUUGAUGUUCGUACUUAGUUGAAGUCGAUAAAAAGAAAAAUUUUAUUUCUCUUGUAAAAAGUUUUAAAAAAAUUCGUAUAAUCAAUUGACAACGUCACAAUUUUUCUAUUAAUAUGUUUUAUUUUAUUCAAAUGGGAAAGAAACACCGAUGAUUAUUUUUAUUCUUUAACAGUAUUUCAAUAAUCUCUCGUUUAAUCAUUAUAUGUUAAUGUUAUUUAUUAUCAUUUAUUUUUAUUUGAAAUGGUAAUUGAUUCUUAAAUCCUGAUAAUAAAUUUCCCCUCUAUAUUGAAUUUCAAAUCAGUUACCGUGUGAUUUGUCGAUUGCAAAAAAAAAAAAAACUCCUUUUAAACUUUUAAAAUAUAAAAAAUUUCAAAUAGAAAUGUUAAAUUACAAUUUUUAAUUUUAAAUAUUCGAUGUGAGGAGAUAUUACAGAUUUUAAAUUGCAAAUUUUUAUCUCCAAGACGAUUGAAUUGUUUUUGAAAAAAAAAAAAAAAUCCUAUUGUGACGUUGUUUUUUGUAAUACGAAUUUAAUACAUUUUUGAAAUUAAAAAAAAAAAAUGUAAUUGAUGUCGAGACGUUCUGUCUGAAAUUUUGUUGCUUAAGAUUUAAAUUUACUAGUCAUAUCUGUGUUUUAUUGGGGGAAAAAAAAGAAUUGUUUACAACAAUUUAAUAAUUAUUUUUUUAAAAAUAGAGCUUUUUCAAUAAAGCCAAAAUAAUUUUUGAUGUUGAUAUGAUUGUAUUUUAACAAAUAAUAAUUUGUCAUUAUUCGUGUCUAGAAAUUCUGUACAUAAACAAUUGGCCGAGAUAAUAAUAAUAAUUUUUUUUUUAUCAGUAUUAAUUAUUUUGUAAAUACUAAAUAUUGACACGCGCUUAUAAUGUCAGCGACACGGGUAUCUUAAAAUUUUCUUUUUUUAUUUUCAUUUCAAUUGCACGAAAUUUUUAAAGUAAAUUUAAACAAAUUGACAGUUUCGUCAACGGUUGCCUAAAAAAAAGAAAAAAAAAGUUAAUACAAUCAGAGAAAAAGGUGAAAAAUCAAUCGGUCGAUCAAUGAAAGAAUUACAAAAAAAUAUAAAAAAAUAUAAAAAAAAAAAAACCUUAGCUGUGAUGACGACUCUAUAGGUACUACUAAGUUUUAAUUAAUUUUUGAUCUAUGUAUAUUAUAUACACAAUGCGCAUAUAUAUUAUAUAUAUAAAUAUAUAUUAUAUGUACAUGAUUAAUAAUAGGGGAAAAAGUAAUUAAUAAUUGUACAAUAAUAAUAAUUUUAACAUUCGAAUAUAAGGUCAUAAUAUGAUAUUUCCAAGUAUAAAUAUAUAUAUAUAUAAAAAAAAACGAGCAAUAUAAUUGAGUCGCGACACUAACAAUGUUUAUUGAUACAAAAGAAAAAAUGUAAAUUAAAGUUAAUCAAUAUUAUAAAAAUAAUGAACGUUGAAACACAGAAUAAAGAUUUUUUUUUUUAAUCAAUAUAUAAAAAAUAUUCCAUUAAAAAUUCUGCUUUUCAGCGAUCAUUGUUCUUUUUAAAAAGAAAAAGUGGGAUUGUAGAUUUAACAAAUGCGAUGACGAAUGGUUGGGUCAUUCCAAAAAAAAAAAGAAAAAAAAGUAAAAUGAUUGAAAAAAAUUCAAUCUCAGUUUUAAUGAAAGUACAUGUGUUUAUUUUUUGUUUUUUUUUUUUUUUUUUUGCAUUUUGGAUGGCCCCCCCAAUCGAUCGGCACUUUUAAUGUGAUAUUGUAACGUACAAAAAUCGUUCGUCGCAAUGGGUCCUUUACAAGAAAAAGAUUCCCAUGAUGAGAGAAAAAAUAAAAUCAAUUUUUCGAGUUAACGUGCAAAACAAAAGGACACAAAAAAAACAACUAAAAAUCCCGAGUGAUUUGUUAAGAAAAAAGUAAAUUGUCGCGCAUUAUCUUAAAUGCCAUUCGGGGAAUAGCGUUUUUUAUUCUAAAAUACAAAAAUUAACACGACCACCAGAAUUGGAACAAGGUCGUUUCAUUUUUCAUCGCAGAUUUCAUCUUCUCCCUUCGUUAUUUUUCUUUUUUUUUUUUUUUUGUAUAUCUAACAUGUACAUAUUUCACUGAAUGCAAUUCUUUCAUGAUAAGUUUUUUAAAAGAAAACAAAUUUUUAUCCACACUAUUUUAAAGUUGAUUUGAAAAAAUUUGCAGCAAUAAUCUAAUUUCAAAAAACAAUUUUUCUCAAUGGAGAAAUUUUUUUUUUUUUUUCUUUUAAUCGAGGACCAAACAACAGAAAAAAAUGAAAUUAUUCAAUAAUGACGUUUCAUUUUUUUCUGUUAAAAAAGAAUCAGGAUAAAUUUUUUAAUUUAAAUUGGAAUUUGAAAAAAAUAAUAAUUUUUUUUUUUUUAGUUUUAGAUUAUGAGAAUCCCAUAUUAAAUAUAAAUAUAUAUAUAUAAUAAUAAUAAUUGAAGCACAUCGGAAAUAAGGCCAAUAUUGCUCGUCCCUCUUUGCACAGAGAGAAAGUUACCUCAUAAUUCUUUUUUUAAUAAUGACGAAAACUUGAUAACAAAAAAAAAAAUGUAGAGUAAAUUAAUCAAUUUUGUAUGAUUCCAAUCAUAUUGGAAAUCAAAACAAAAAUAUGUAUGUAUGAUAAUAUUGAAUGAAAAAAUUUUCACUUUGUGCGAGCGAGGCGAACGAAUAAAUCUGUCCAGUUGCAAAUUUGCAGCUUUUCUUAAUUUUCUUUUUUUUUUUGUUCGUUUCCGUAAAAUAUAAUAAGAAUAAAAAUAAUACAGGACACAAAAAAUACACAAACAAUAUUUCAUACUCAUACGAGCCAGCAUACAAAUAAAAAAAAAAAAAAGCGCGAUUACCACACAUCCGUUAAAAUGAUUAAGCCUUAAAUUUAGAAUCGAGUUUACAGCUGGGGAAAAAAAGGGAGUAAAACGUAAAAAAAAAAAAAAAAAAAAAAAGAAAUGCUUCAUGGAAGUAAAAAAAAAUGUUAACAUUCAAAAAUUAAUUGAUUAAUUAAUGUUAAUAAAAUAUUAAUUAAUUAAUUAAUAUUGACGUUGACAUUAAUAUAAGUCAAUAAGAAACAUUUUUUUUUUUUAGAUAUUAUCUCUAUCUGUGAGGAAAAAUCUUUAGCUUUAUCAUUUUUGUGAUUCGUUAAUAUAUUCUAUGUCGAUAAUACUUGUUUGAUUGAUAGAGAAUAUCAUUUUUGAAAAUUAAGUGUAAACACAAUUUCAACCGAUUUUAUCAUCUAUUAAAAAAAAAAAAAUUGAGUCUUUGUAAUUUUUCUGCAUGUUAUAUGUUUUAAUAUUACAUAAAUGUUAAUUGGGAAAUAUUUGUAAAAAAAAAAAGAGAAAAAAUUCCUUUAACGAAAAGAAAAAGGAUUUCGAACGAUAAAAUUGGUAGUUCAUUGUGUUAAUUUCUCCCUUUUUUUCUUUUUUUUAAUUAUUAUUAUUAUUAUUAUUAAAAAAUAUAUAAAUAUAUAUAUAUAUUCUUAAUUCAUUUAAAUAUAACGCUUUGCGAGUUCACGCGACCUUUUUAAAAUUUGCAGAUUUUUUAUUGAAAAGGAAAAAUUAAAUCGCGUGAGUUCGCAAAGACGUGACUGAUUUUAAAAUGUAUAUCUGAAAAAAGGACCGGCUCUCCCUCUAUACAUUAUAUAAGAUCUUUCGGGGUUUCUUCUUUUUUCGGAAAAAAAAUAAAAAAUAAAAUAAAACAUUACUUUUUAUAUAUUAUAAGAGUGCGGACAAAGAGAGCGCGUUCUUGUCCGUGAAUUCUGCUGCGCGUUCAGCAAAAAAUCGUACUGAUUAUUUUAAGAGAAAUCGAGAUUCGAUUGUGUACCUUGAUAUAUAUCAAAAGAUAUGUUUAUCACAACAACAAAAAAAAAAAAUUGUUUGAAUAAUUACGAUAAUUGUGAAAGUAUGUGUAUGUGCGUGUGAAACAAAAAAAAACCGACAGAGUGCUUCCUCGCCUAUAUUAAUAUAAAAAAGGACACAUUUUCUUUUUUCAAAUCUACUUAUGAGAAGAAAAAAAUAAAUAAUGAACAAAUUAUAGAAAUUCGUUUCACAACAUUUUGAAAAUGUGCUCUUUUUUAUAUACUAUUUUUCAACAUACGUUAAUGUUUGACACUCUAAAUAAUCGACAAGUAGAAAAAAAGAAAAUUAAAAAAAAAAAGAAAAAAAAACUUCAGUCUUAAAAUAAAAUUUGGAAUGUCAAACAUUUACGCUUGUAUAAAUUGCCUUUUUUUUCUUUGUAUUAAGUUACACUGUAUUAUGUCAUACACUUUUAAGCUAAUUCACCUCCUUUUUUUUUUGUUUUGUUUUCUCGUUCUUAAAGCAAAAAAAAAAAAAAUCAUAAUUUUGAUUAACAAAAUGUUUAUUGACAAAAUGUUAAUCUCAGAUUUAUAACUUGUACGAGGCAUUUCCUAUAGUUUUGUUUUUCUUGCGAUUUAAAAGUUAUAAUAAUAUUUGUUACCAGCGACAAUGGUAGUUGUUUAUAUAUAUAUAUAUCUGUAUAAUUUUUUUUUUUUUUUUUUUAAAGACGAAUACAUGAACAAUUUAAUUCUUCGAAAAAAAGAACAAUUCCAUUUUUUUCUGAAAAUAAUUUUAUUCUCUUGUUUGAAAAAAUUUUGUUUUCUUCAAUGUUUAAGAAACAAAAAAAAAAAUUAUAUUCUUUAAAAAUUGUAUUUAAAAAAAAAUUGUUUUUAAAAAUUAUUUUCCUAAAUAAUUAUUUUCUUCAAAUGUUAUUUUUCUAAAAAAAAAAAAUUGUAUUUCUGAAAAAGAAAAUUAAUUUUACUAAAAAAAAAAAGAAAAGGAAAAUAAUUUUUUUUUUACUGAAAAAAAUGUAAUUCUUUCUUUUUUUCGAAAAGAAGUGUGAUAAACAAAAAUUUGAUUUUCUCGAGGAUAAAAGAAGAAGCAGCAGAAAUUUAAUUUAAAGAAGAAAAAAAAACGAGACGAUGAAUUUUUUUUUUUUUGGAUAAUAAAAUGAGGCAAUUCCUCGAGUAUGUAUUUUGAAUGAGAAACAAAUUAUAAUAUUGUAAAUGUGUGUAUGUAUGAGUGUAAUGGAAUGAAAAAUAGUUUAGCCUUACGUUUUAAGCUACGAUCACUGUGAUUUCCGUUUAAUCUCUUAAAUGGUCAAGCGGACGCAAUGCAAUGAAUCGAAUAAGACUUUAAAAAAAAAAAAAAUGCACGAAAUAAAAAGAGCGAUUGUUAUAAAACGAAGCGACAUUUUUUUUUUUUUUUUUUUUUAUUAAGAUAUAAUUGCGAUUGUAAGUGCGCGUUCAUGACGCAAAAAAAAAAAAAAUAAUAAAAAGCGUCCAGAGACUAUAAAAAGAAAACAAAAAAGAGCACGAACUUUGCAUACAAAUAUUUAAUGUAGUCGGGGUGAUAUAGAUAUUUUGUAAAUGAUAGAAGUUAUAUCAGAAGAUAAGAUGGACAGGAAACAAUUAACAAGUGCUAAUGAAAGUAAAGAGUAAAAAAAAAAAGUAAAUAAAAGUGAAAAAUAGUGAAAGAAAAUAAAAAAAAAGUGAUAGAAGAAUAAAAGAAGAAAAGUGAUUAAAAAAAAAAGUGGCAGAUGAAGAGGAUGGAGAAUUUGUUGGACCAGGAUGGAGGGGAAGGCUCGCAAUGCGUAAGAACGAGAGGACAUCUGCUCCCAUUUUGUGCCAGUUACGCAUCCGAUUGUUUUUUUCGGAAAACAAAAGUUGAACUCACGUGUUUGCGUAGGGCGUGCCCUGAUCUAUUCAAAAUAAAAUCUUUGAACAUCCUGUCAGUUCAUUUUUAUGGACAAUGAAAAAAAAAAAAAAAAGAAAUUCUCCAAAAGAGCCCCUCCGACCAUUUUUGGUGUGAGAGAGGUCAAUUUUAUGACAAUUGAAAAGGGCCCAAGUGAUCGGGGAGUAGUGCGGGCGUUACAACAAGAAAAGCUUUUGAUCAGAGAAAAAUGUUUGAAAAGAAGAAAAGUUUCGAUCUUCCACAAAAGAGAGAAAUUCGAAGGCCAGAAAUGAAAAGCAGCACAAUAAUAAUCACGAGAAUAUCGAAUGAAAUCUUAAAAUAAAAAGAAAAGAGAGAAGAGGCCACCGAAAGAUAUCAUCGGAGAGCUUAUCCAAAAAUAAUAACGGGAGUUUUUGAUUUUUCUUCAUCAAAUAAAUGCGUUUCAUUCCAAUCAGAUUCACGCAUUUUUUUGCUCCCUUCUCUAUCUCUCUCUCUUUUUUUUUCAUGAAUCCAAUUCAUCAUAAUAAUUGUAGUUUACAAAAUGUGUCUGUGUUCACCGAAACGUUUUUCACACACAUGACACGCACAGUCGCUCAUAACAAUUUAAACUAUUAGAAUGUUACAUAAUAAAAACGAUAAAGCAGUAAACAAUGGAGGAGAACUUUCAAAAUAAAUAAAUAAAUAAGAAUAAUAAUAAUAAAGGCCUGGAAUUAUUUGUCCAAUGUAGCAAACAUAUAUAAAAAAAGCUCAUUGGCAACCUUCUCGAUUUAACGAGGAGGAUAUAAUUAUUAUCAGUCCUUUGUCAAAGUUGGAGAUGCAAUGAUCGAAUUCGAGACUGAAGGCGAGAAACAAGAAUAUAAGUAUGUGUGCAUGAAAGUUUCUAAGAAAAAUUGAGAUUGGAAAAAAUGAGAAAAUUUCUUUUUUGCAAAUUUGCAGAGAGGAACCAAAAAAAAAAAACAUAAAAAAAAAAACAAGAACAAGUGUUGAGUAUUAAAAGAACCACAAGGGAGAGAAUGUGUGCUCGAGGGAUAAGGAGAUGGGGACGUAAACGUCUGCUUUCUCAAAAAGCUUUAAAAUUUUUUUUUUUUUUCAUUAAUAGUAUAUAGCUUUAAGUGUGAGGAGUUUUUGAAAUGCUAUUUCUUAGAAAGAUUCUGGUAUUUUUACUGAAAAAUUUACAUUCAAAUUCAUAUUUUAAUUUCGAAAGCAUACAUGCACAAUAGAAAAAAAAAUUAAUCAAAAGAAAAGCAUUUCGGAUAUAAGAGAAAGAUGAAAAGAAGAUGAAGAUAAUAAAAGAAGAAGAGAAAGUAAGGAGGAAAUUUUAAGAAGAUGAUAGAGGAGUAAAAAAAUAAGGACCAAGUUAAAAAAAAAACUUGUUCCGUCAAAGUAUUCACCGAUGGAAAAAAAAAAUUAUUGAUCUCAUUCAUUCACAUCAGCAUCAAUUAUAUUGACAAUUUCAUAUAUAUAUAUAUAUAUAUGAGAGUCUUUAUCAUUCCAGAAGAUCAAUCAAAUCCGCUGAUUGAUUUGCAAUCAACGUGCGAAAUGUUUUCACCAUUUACAAAAAAAAAAAAAAAAAAAAAAAAAAGAAAAAAAAACCAAGACAAAUCACAAAAAAUUUUCAACCAAUUUUUAAGAAGAAAAUGAAGAUGAACAACAACAGCAUCAACAAAUUUACAAAACCAAUUUCUCAAUAUACUGUGAUCUAUCCUUUCCUUUUUUUUUCCUGCAAUAGAAAGUUCUUACAUUAAUAUGAAUCCAAAUUAAUUCCUUUCCUACAGAAAAAAUUCAAUUAUUUCCCCCUUUUUUUUUUUUUAGUUUCAAUCUACAUUCAAUCUGUGUACCUAAUUUACAUAUCCCGUCCAAAUCCAAAAUACCUUUUUUUUUAGGGCCCUUUUCAGGGCCCGCAAAUGUUUCCCAAUGAAGGAAUAUGCUUGGUUCAAACAAACAUAAAAUCUGUCCUUUUAAGGACAAACAAAAAACGUAUAAAGGUUUCAUAUUCAGUAUUUUUUUUAUAAAAAUUGAUUGAAAUAAUUUUAUUGUAAAUGAAAAAUAUUUAUAAUAAAAUAUUGUACGAAUUUUUAUUAAAAAAAAAACUGGUAAAAAAUAAUCUAUCCUUUUUAGGACUAUUUUUUUACAGCUAAUUUUCCAUGAAUUUUAUUUAUGAACAAUUUUUUUUUUUACAUAAUUUAUUUUAGAAAUAAUUUCAAAUAUUUAAAUUAAAUAUUAAUUUUUGUUUUCAUUGAAGAAUUUUUUUUUACUUCUUUUUUUUCUGUUGAGUUAAAUUAUUUUUAAAUAUAAUCAAAAUAAAUUUGAAUGGAUAACGAAAGAAUGAGGAUUUGUCCUUGAUCUUUCUUGAAAAGAAGAGGAAUAUAUUCGUCACAGUUGCUGUUUUUAAGACGGCAAUUAUUCUGAGGGUCAUCGACAUCAAUAGAGAAACAACGCAGAAGUUGAAUAUAAAUGACGAAAUGGAAAAACAUCUUCAAGGAAUCGACUGUUUAGCAAACGCAAAGUGGGCAACUAUUUUUAAAACAAACUGCUUGCUCGACACUGCAUUUAUAAACACCGCCGCAUAAUGUUCCUACAAUGAAAAUUGAUGGAUCCUUCGAUGAGAAAUCAAAACUUGUAAUUGUUAAACCAGCUUCAAUGGCACGUUCUCGAGUACCACCGGAACUACGUGGUCUUGCACUCUCCGAUGGAUUAUGCUCUUUUGCCACUUUAAAUCUAAUACACAGAAGAUACAAAUAAAAAAAAAUACAAAUAAA
This is a long non-coding RNA of Leptopilina boulardi, 11062 nucleotides long. RefSeq lists it as uncharacterized. Lineage: Eukaryota; Metazoa; Arthropoda; Insecta; Hymenoptera; Figitidae. The record is from RefSeq and is a predicted model, not a curated record. The transcript is spliced from 2 exons.